GUUCUCUCGUCACACACAGUGCUCACGGUGGCCCCUGGUGCGGGCCGGCCCGUGGUCCUGCCCCUGGUCCCGCUCACAGCCAUCCUGAGGCCCCCUGGUGCACGCAGCCAGUUCUGAAAUGCUUCGGUCAGGGCUGUCCUGGAGGAGAGCACAGAGGCCGUGGGAGCUGGGGAGGCAUCUAUGAAGGAGGGCUUCCUGGAGGGGACACUGGCACUGUGAUGUGAAGGUGGAAAGGGCCUCCCAGGAGAGGGGACUGUUCAUCUCGAGGUGGCACCUGGCCGGCCGUGGGACCAUGACGCUGCUCUGGGAGCCCGUGGAAGCCUGGCUAGUGCUGGCCCUGGCCUUGGCGCUGGCCCUGGGCCCCAGUGUGGGUGUAGCUGCCCCGAGGCAGGACUGCACGGGUGUGGAGUGCCCGCCGCUGGAGCACUGCAUCGAGGAGGCGCUGGAGCCGGGCGGUGCCUGUG
This 464-nucleotide long non-coding RNA is filed under the name Equus asinus (donkey). RNAcentral describes it as "lncRNA (ENSEASG00005024671.1)". Lineage: Eukaryota; Metazoa; Chordata; Mammalia; Perissodactyla; Equidae. The record is from RNAcentral.